AGAAUCAACGCUGGCGGCGUGCCUAACACAUGCAAGUCGAACGCGAAAGUCCCGCAAGGGAUGAGUAGAGUGGCAAACGGGUGAGUAACGCGUGGGUGACCUGCCUUCGAGUGGGGGAUAACGUUCCGAAAGGGACGCUAAUACCGCAUGACAUCCUGCCUUUGAAGAGGUGGAGAUCAAAGCUGGGGAUCGCAAGACCUGGCGCUUGGAGAGGGGCCCGCGUCCGAUUAGCUAGUUGGUGGGGUAACGGCCUACCAAGGCAUCGAUCGGUA
RNAcentral lists this ribosomal RNA (272 nucleotides) under uncultured soil bacterium. RNAcentral describes it as "partial 16S ribosomal RNA". It matches the Rfam family "Bacterial small subunit ribosomal RNA", at positions 26 to 285 of the family's 1533-position model. The record is from RNAcentral.